This 301-nucleotide ribosomal RNA is filed under the name uncultured bacterium. Its description in RNAcentral is "partial 16S ribosomal RNA". It matches the Rfam family "Bacterial small subunit ribosomal RNA", at positions 509 to 807 of the family's 1533-position model. The record is from RNAcentral.
CAGUCGCCGCGGUAAUACGUAGGUGGCAAGCGUUGCUCGGAAUUACUGGGCGUAAAGGGAGCGUAGGCGGACAUUUAAGUCAGGGGUGAAAUCCCAGAGCUCAACUCUGGAACUGCCUUUGAUACUGGGUGUCCUGAGUGUGAUAGAGGUAUGUGGAACUCCGAGUGUAGAGGUGAAAUUCGUAGAUAUUCGGAAGAACACCAGUGGCGAAGGCGACAUACUGGAUCAUUACUGACGCUGAGGCUCGAAAGCGUGGGGAGCGAACAGGAUUAGAUACCCCUGUAGUCCCUGUCUCUUAUAC